UAUGGUGACGGUGAUCCUGGAUUUGGCGGAGAUCCUCUGCGGCAACAGAACACAGACAGCCGGAAGGUGAUUCAUUUUUGAAUUACCACCACAAUUGGCGUUGUCGGCAGGAUCAGACUACUGAUGUGACUCUGACCGAGCACAGAGGACAACUAAAUAGGAAAAUUCCUCCCUAAGGGUGAGAUGCUGAACUCGGGUGGAGAACCUAAAUCAAAGAUCUGAUCCAGAAAGAAAAAAUCUGCACAGAACCCAUUUACACUGGAUCCCGACCUGGACUCACUUCCACCCCCCUACACUCCUGCAGCAGCAGCAGCAACCACAGCAACAGCAGCAACAACAACAACAACAACAAUAAUAACAACAACAACAACAGCAGCCGCAACAGUUGCUGCUCUUCUGACAGCUUGCAGAACAGCUUUUCCACUUCAAAUUAAUAUGUACAGUACGCUGGCCAUUCAACCAAGAGGAGGUGGACAUCAGCGAGGGAGAAGCAGGGAACGUGGUGGUCAUGGAAGAAGACAUCAGGGACUUCCAGGUGUUUGCCACCGCUGCGGACAAGAGGGACACUGGAGAAAAGACUGCCCGAAAAACAAAAAGCAGCCUGCCCAAAACUGACAGCAAGGGAGGGUGGAACGGAUGACAGAGACGGACCAGAAUCCACAGUUUGGGGAGUCCAAACCUACCGAUCAUGACAAAGUAAAACUUGCAAUACAAUAUUUAGAAGCUAAAGCUAAAAUACCAGUACCUAAAUGUACUUAUUGCAUGCACAUUGGGGAAACAGAAGGGGUUUAGAAAAUUACCUGAAUUAACCAUGCAUAUAUUGGAGGACAUGAUGUUAUAUUUUUAGUAGAUUAGACUGUUUGAAAAGAUUCUGCCCUGUCCCCAAAGCCAAAGAAAAGUUGUUGAUAGUGUAAAACUGUAGCGGCAGAAGGCAUCCCCAUGUUGGAGCCCAGCCAAUGUAAAUGUAUUUCCUUGAGAGCCAUAUAUAUAAUAAAAUUGAGUUUUAAGUAU
Long non-coding RNA from Cottoperca gobio, 1011 nucleotides. RefSeq lists it as uncharacterized. The record is from RefSeq and is a predicted model, not a curated record. The transcript is spliced from 3 exons. Lineage: Eukaryota; Metazoa; Chordata; Actinopteri; Perciformes; Bovichtidae.